Molecule: ribosomal RNA, 253 nt
Filed under: uncultured bacterium
Lineage: Bacteria
Description: partial 16S ribosomal RNA
Rfam family: Bacterial small subunit ribosomal RNA
Source: RNAcentral
UACGGGGGGGGCAAGCGUUGUUCGGAAUUACUGGGCGUAAAGGGCUCGUAGGCGGCCAACUAAGUCAGACGUGAAAUCCCUCGGCUUAACCGGGGAACUGCGUCUGAUACUGGAUGGCUUGAGUUUGGGAGAGGGAUGCGGAAUUCCAGGUGUAGCGGUGAAAUGCGUAGAUAUCAGGAGGAACACCUGUGGUGUAGACAGCUUACUGGACCAUAACUGACGCUGAGGCACGAAAGCGUGGGUAGCAAACAGG